This 287-nucleotide long non-coding RNA is filed under the name Triticum aestivum (bread wheat). Its description in RNAcentral is "long non-coding RNA (TAES_LNC026950)". Lineage: Eukaryota; Viridiplantae; Streptophyta; Magnoliopsida; Poales; Poaceae. The record is from RNAcentral.
CCAGGACGAAAUUCAGUCGGCACGAGAUGGUCUUCGUCAGAUGCGGAGCGCAGCGACGUUAGAGGUUUUCGACGCUGCGUGGAUCGCCCUCAAGCGGCAGCCAGCGUGAUGAUUGAGUCUGUGCGAUCUAAUGUAAUGCUGCGUUGGUGAUCGAAUUCUGAAUUUUUUGCUUAGAUUCAGUUUUCGUUGGUGAAUUGAAUUCUAAGAACCCCACUAUCAGUCUUCAUGCAUUUGGUUAUGCUUGAUAAAGCUUGAUCUGAGAACAAUAUAGUAUUUAGUUACUACUC